GAAAGCUAUCCGUCGCUUUGCUUGCAGCCAGGGCUAACUGUCAGAUGGCCGAUGGCUGGCUGGUAUCCUCUCCUUGCUUUUCCCUAUAUCUAGCAUACUGCAGUAAGCAGGGAUGUGAUGUAAAAUAAAAGGGGAGGGGGGAGGAGUGUGCGGGAGGGGGGAGGGAGGUGGGGAAGGGGAGAGACACCAGCCAUGCUUGCAGACAUUCCCAAUAAUACCCUCACAGCGCUUUUUUUGUAAGGCAUCCGUAGGGCCACCAAUUGAAUUGAAUGGAAUUGAAUAGAAUUGGUCCUCAUUGUGCUGAAUGGCCCUCUGCCGUUCCACCGUGCCUCGCCAUUUCUGCUUGUGACUGACAGGUUCAUAUUGAUGUGGCCUUGAACCAGGCCCCAGGCAGCCCUUCAGACAUGAUGGAAUUACCCAGCAUCCCCAGCCAGCCUGAUUGUGAGGGUCAAGUUAAGGAAUGACACCCCCAUAUGGGAGGGAUGCCACGCACAGAAGAUUGUGGAAGUCCCGGGAGUCGUGCUAGCAGGAUAUCAUCUCAUCAAAGCAAAAUUAAUGUCACAGUGAAG
Molecule: long non-coding RNA, 569 nt
Organism: Xenopus laevis (African clawed frog)
Lineage: Eukaryota; Metazoa; Chordata; Amphibia; Anura; Pipidae
Exons: 3
Source: RefSeq, a predicted model, not a curated record